ACUCAAAGGAAUUGACGGGGACCCGCACAAGCGGUGGAGCAUGUGGUUCAAUUCGACGCAACGCGAAGAACCUUACCUGGGUUAAAUCAAGGGUGUAAGGUGCAGAGAUGCAUCCCCCGGGCAACCGGCGCUCUUGAAGGUGCUGCAUGGCUGUCGUCAGCUCGUGUCGUGAGAUGUUGGGUUAAGUCCCGCAACGAGCGCAACCCUUACCACUAGUUGCCAGCGGUUCGGCCGGGCACUCUAGCGGAACUGCCGGUGAUAAACCGGAGGAAGGUGGGGAUGACGUCAAGUCAUCAUGGCCUCUAUGUCCAGGGCUACACACGUGCUACAAUGGCCGGUACAAACCGUCGCAAACCCGCGAGGGGGAGCCAAUCGGAAAAAGCCGGUCCCAGUUCGGAUUGCAGUCUGCAACUCGACUGCAUGAAGUUGGAAUCGCUAGUAAUCGCAGAUCAGCACGCUGCGGUGAAUACGUUCCCGGGUCUUGUACACACCGCCCGU
RNAcentral lists this ribosomal RNA (498 nucleotides) under uncultured bacterium. RNAcentral's name for it is "partial 16S ribosomal RNA". It matches the Rfam family "Bacterial small subunit ribosomal RNA", at positions 899 to 1397 of the family's 1533-position model. The record is from RNAcentral.